Molecule: non-coding RNA, 250 nt
Organism: Cinara cedri
Lineage: Eukaryota; Metazoa; Arthropoda; Insecta; Hemiptera; Aphididae
Source: the annotation of a GenBank genome assembly
AAAUUUUACCACGUUUAGAUAAGUCCAAUAUAAGUAUUAGUACCAAGUUUCAGGUCUCUACGUGUAUUUAUAACCAAAUUACAGCAAAAAAAUUUCUUAAAAACUCAAAAGUUUUGGCGAUGAUACCGUAAGAAAUUAAAUCAAAAAGGCAACAAAAAAGUUAUCUUUUGAUUUUUCGAUUAAAUUAUUCAAUAAUCAUAAAACUCCCAAAAAUUAAAAUUCCUUAAAAGGUGGCUCAAAACUUUUGAUG